This 402-nucleotide ribosomal RNA is filed under the name uncultured bacterium. RNAcentral describes it as "partial 16S ribosomal RNA". It matches the Rfam family "Bacterial small subunit ribosomal RNA", at positions 355 to 774 of the family's 1533-position model. The record is from RNAcentral.
UAGGGAAUUUUCGGCAAUGGGCGCAAGCCUGACCGAGCAACGCCGCGUGAGGGAAGAAGGUCUUCGGAUCGUAAACCUUUGUCUUUGGGGAAGAUAAUGACGGUACCCAAGGAGGAAGCCACGGCUAACUACGUGCCAGCAGCCGCGGUAAUACGUAGGUGGCAAGCGUUGUCCGGAAUUACUGGGCGUAAAGGGCGUGUAGGCGGUCUUUUAAGUCAGGCGUGAAAACUGUGAGCUUAACUCGCAGACUGCGUUUGAGACUGAGAGACUUGAGGAUCGGAGAGGGCAGUGGAAUUCCCAGUGUAGCGGUGAAAUGCGUAGAUAUUGGGAAGAACACCAGUGGCGAAGGCGGCUGCCUGGACGACACCUGACGCUGAGGCGCGAAAGCCAGGGGAGCAAACG